ACUUCGGCCGAAGAUUCCCGAAUCAUAUCUUAGAGUAUUCAUCCUCUCAUAACGAGGAUUAGAGAUCCCUUGUUACGCAUUCACUUGCCUCCAUGGCUAAGUGCCUUAACCCCAACUAUGCCGUGGACACUCGCGAAUGGAGUGACUUUGACAUAAUCAAAGAUCAAGGACCUAACCACAAGACAACUAUGAUGCCUCAGGUCAAAGGACUACUUACAUUAUUCCAACCAUUAGAGUUACUUGCUUGACAUGUGAGUAGACCUCCAUGCAAGUACUCUCGUUCGAUUGUGUUCAGUGAACUCAUUCCCUUAAUGAGCACCUACAUACUUGUCUUAGUGUCACUACACGAAUGGGAUGAGUGAAGGAUGAUUUUGUGAAAACAUGUUCAUUUGAGCAACAUCAUAUAGCAUGCAAUUAACAAUUAAAGGCGGAAUCAUGCUUUCAUGCACUCAAAAACAAAACAUUACCCAUGAAAUUCAAAGCCUAGUAGAUUGGUGAACCAAGACUCAACUCAAAAACAAAGUGAGUUGAGAAAUUAUACCUUUGUAGAUUCCUCUUUGCAUAAGCAAAGACUAAUCACCCAAAGAGAGGGCCUUCAUUCCUUACAUCUAAAAUCUAUGGAUUUGGAUGGAUGAAAAGGUUUCUCCAAGUUCCCAAAAUUGAGAACCUCUAAGUCUCCACACCAAUGAGAGAUUGGAGAAGAAAUGAGUGACCUUGGAGGAGUAGUAUGGCUAGAUACACCCUCCAAGGGGGCCGGCCUCCUAGAGAGAAAAGGAGAGACAUGUUCUCUCCAAUUUUCUCCAAAAAGAACCCUGAAUGAAUUUUGGCUAUAAAGUCAUAUUUAUACCUUAAUUCAUUGGAGUGGCAAACUUGUAAAUAAGUCCAAAACCCACUCCAAAACUAAAUGGCCGGCCAUUGGGAUAUUAUUGGGCUAAUUGGGCCUUUGUGAACCAUUAUUCAUUAAGUUGUCAUACAACUUAAGUCAAUGGGCUUGACGUUCGAAGCCCAUUAGGCCUUAAGGUCCAAAACUAUCCCGAGGUCUUUAACGAACUUAUUCGUUUGAUUAAUUAACAUAUUAAUUAAUCCUUGCCAAAAAUAAUUAAACCAUUUAAUUAUUCUUACUCAUUUCGAUUGUUUCUUCAAUCUCCACCUUACACGGUGUACGAUCCAUUAGGUUCCUUUUAGCGAGGCAGUGGGCGAUUAAAAUCAUUUCACAUCGAUUGUGAAUUGAAACUUACUUUCAAUUCUCCCUUUAGUGAUUAUACACGUUUAGGGCUUCCACAAACCAUGAGUGACACCUAGCAGCAUAUCAUGGUUACCCAAGCUAAUCAGAAGAGGUGGAGAACCUAUUCAGUUUAGGACUACAAAUGCAAUACGGUCUUUCUCUAAUACAAUACUCUUGACCACAUUGUUUGGUUUGAUAGUUUAUUUAUUCAUGUCUACUAUCCAAUGUGAUUCGUGUGCUUAUAUGAUUACCUUGAAUGUGAUUUGGAACGACUUCCUAAAUCUCAUUCAUACUCUGGCGCCAGAGAUUCUAAAUCAUAUCAUAGAGUAUUCUCCCUCAAACGGUUUGAAGGUUAGAGAUCCCUUGUUGCGCAUUCACUUGUCUCCAUGGCUAAGUGGCUUAACCCCAACGAUGCCGUGGACACCCUCCAAAUGGAGUGACUUUGACAUAAUCAAAGAUCAAGGACUUAACCACAAGACAACUGUGAUGCCUCAGGUCAAAUGACUACUUUGCAUUAUCCCAACCAUAAGUUCUCAUGUGACAUGAAUAUGAGAACUCUUCGUUAAUCGUGUUCAGUGAACUCAUUCUCUAUUGAGCACCUACGUACUUGUCUUGAUGUCACACACACCAAUGACUCGAGACUAGUCACUCUCCCUGAAAGAAGACACAACACGUACUGAUCUUAACGGACUGUCAAUGCCCAAUUGGCAAUCCUAU
Molecule: long non-coding RNA, 1942 nt
Filed under: Malus domestica (apple)
Lineage: Eukaryota; Viridiplantae; Streptophyta; Magnoliopsida; Rosales; Rosaceae
Description: long non-coding RNA (MDOM_LNC002975)
Source: RNAcentral